CCAAAGUGUCCUGAUCUGACCCACAGAUGGGAGGAUGGAAAGAAGAAAACCAACUCAGGCAAAUGUUUGAACUGUGAACAUUUACUCCAUGCGAGGCUCUGUUCCCUCUGUUCUCAGGGCAGGUUCAUACCUUUCCACUGCACCAUUUUGCUCAGUCCUACUUCUGACCCAUAUGUUUUGUGUGGCUGGAGUUACAGCACCUAACUUCAAGAGUUGAGAGAAACUAAUUGGUCUGCAAAGAUAUCAGAUCCACUGAGUGACUUUCAUCUUCAACAACCUAAUUAAUGAAUAUUCCCUUCUCUACUGACUUGAAAGAAAGAGUGGGACUGAAUCAAAUUGGAAUUAUUCUGCAUGGAUGGAGAAGACGGUAGUCUGAAAAGUCUGCUUUGAUUAGCCACUCAGCAAAAUCCUUUUUCUUAUUUUGCCUAAUCAAGGAGUCACUGACUUCUUCACAGCUUGGGUAAGAACUACUGUGUUUUAAUUGAGCAGUGGAAGGAAACUGCAAAGAAAAAACACAG
This is a long non-coding RNA of Lutra lutra (Eurasian river otter), 518 nucleotides long. RefSeq lists it as uncharacterized. The transcript is spliced from 3 exons. Lineage: Eukaryota; Metazoa; Chordata; Mammalia; Carnivora; Mustelidae. The record is from RefSeq and is a predicted model, not a curated record.